CGAUUAGUGAAAUAUUAGAAGUGAAUAUUAUGGAUUUUGCAGCCUAGCCAUGCAAAUAGUACUAGGUCGCUAAAUAUACCGACCGGUAAGCCGCUGACCUGUCGACGGAUGUGCGCGAGUCCGCUAGGAUUGGCAGCCAUGCUUGCAAACACCAACCUCUCCUCAUAGUCGUACUCGCACAGGAUUUUGUUGUCGCAUAGGCAAAUUGUGGAAGCAACUCAUUAUGUCCGGCUUACCGGCCAUCAGUUACGUUCCAUUAAAGGAUUGAAGCGGUCGACAGUUAAUGGACAA
Long non-coding RNA from Hyposmocoma kahamanoa, 291 nucleotides. RefSeq lists it as uncharacterized. NCBI's taxonomy places the organism in Eukaryota, Metazoa, Arthropoda, Insecta, Lepidoptera, Cosmopterigidae. The transcript is spliced from 2 exons. The record is from RefSeq and is a predicted model, not a curated record.